AUUAUUUGAGGCGUCAAAUGACUCAUUACCUCAUAUAACAAACUAUUUUUUUUUAAUAUACUAAAAAUAUAAGUGAAGCAGACUGCGUAUCAAAGAGUAACCAGGCUAUCUGUCCAAGAAGGGUCAAGUCUCAAGGUUUUCUUGUUAUAAGUUUACGAGUUGCAUAUAUUAUUAAAUAUGCAAGACCUUAAAUCCAUCAAGCUUGCGCUCAUGACGAGUUUAUUCAAUAAUAAAUAUUUAAAUGAACUUGAUUUUAUUCAUUCUUCUUUUCAAAUUAAUUUCUUUUAAUCAAAUGCAAUUAUAGUUCUCAUCGAUCCAAUAGAGAAUUAAAAGAAGGAAAGAAAUAUCAAAUAAAAAAAUCGUAAAUAAAUAACUCACAUUGAAAUCUGGAUCAUCAAUGCUUUUUUCAAGAGCUAAACGUUCAAUUUGAGAUGUGAGAGUUUCAUCCUCGGAUUCACUACCAUCAUCGUCAUCAUCAGUCGAAGCAGCCUCAACCUCAAAAAAUU
This is a long non-coding RNA of Leptopilina boulardi, 506 nucleotides long. RefSeq lists it as uncharacterized. NCBI's taxonomy places the organism in Eukaryota, Metazoa, Arthropoda, Insecta, Hymenoptera, Figitidae. The record is from RefSeq and is a predicted model, not a curated record. The transcript has 2 exons.